Acomys russatus (golden spiny mouse) is the source of this 181-nucleotide long non-coding RNA. RefSeq lists it as uncharacterized. The transcript is spliced from 3 exons. The record is from RefSeq and is a predicted model, not a curated record. Lineage: Eukaryota; Metazoa; Chordata; Mammalia; Rodentia; Muridae.
CCCUGGGCUCUCAGGCUCUGCAGGUUCCCUGGGCUCUCAGGCUCUGCAGGCUUCCUGGGCUCUCAGGCUCUGCAGGUUCCCUGGGCUCUCAGGCUCUGCAGGCUCCCUGGGCUCUCAGGCUCUGCAGGUUGCCUGGGCUCUCAGGCUCUGCAGGUUCCCUGGGCUCUCAGGCUCUGCAGGC